UAUCGGGUUUUGUUUCAGCUAACUUGGGCAGAUCUAGCUGUAUUUGACUUCACACAAGAGGUUUUAGCCGUUUGGAAACACGAAAAACUUAAUUUUCUAGAAGAAUUCAACAAACAUCACGAAAGAAUCAAAGCUGUUCCGAAAAUCAAAAAAUGGUUAGAAAACGAGACCAAAGACAGAACGGUGAAUCCCGAUUUUUUUCACUGACACGUUUAUGUUUUGUGUUCAAGUGUAUGUCUUUGUUUACCAAGCGAACAAAUAAUGGCACCAUUGUGCAUUGAUUUUGUCAUCUUUCAAAAAUCAUUAAAUCAAAAUAAAAAAAUUAUAUCGAUCACCACUGGCACUUUUCUCUGUAUCUGUGUCUACAAAAGCUUUGAAAUUUUAAAGUUAAUGAAAAUUUAAUGUUCUUACUCAUAGGUUAAUUAUUAAUACGUAAAUACCCAAUAACCAACUCAUCUCCCAUGCAGAGUUAUCGGUCCUUGCUCUCUCUCAAGGACCGAUAACACCUUACAAUCAUCCAAUGCACUAAAUAUAGUUGACCUAUUGCUUGUAGAUUCAAAUAAAACAGACUUAGCCAAGAAAACUUAACAUUGACAAUUUACAAUUGCAUAUCAGCGAGGGAUAAUUCAUAUAAACACAGAAGUGCUGACUACAGGACUGGUGAUAACCUCGGAGAAUAAAAACUCGACCAGCAGUGGAAUCGACCCAGUGGUUGUAAAUAAAUUAUUCAUAGAUACCAGCAUUGAAAUGAUGUAUUUGCGCCAGACGCGCGUUUCGUCUACAUAACUCAUCAAUGAAGCUCGAUUAAAAAGGGUUAAAAAGCCAAAUAAAGUACAAAGGUAAAGAGCAUAAUUCCAUUUAGGACAAAAGUUUCUUAAAAGUAUUGCCAAAUACAGCUAAGGUAUUGUAUUUCUUAGGUAGACUUGCGUUUUCAAAGGGUACUGAACCAUGGUUUAAAUGACGUC
Molecule: long non-coding RNA, 965 nt
Filed under: Mytilus galloprovincialis (Mediterranean mussel)
Lineage: Eukaryota; Metazoa; Mollusca; Bivalvia; Mytilida; Mytilidae
Source: RNAcentral